This 1007-nucleotide ribosomal RNA is filed under the name marine metagenome. Its description in RNAcentral is "bacterial LSU rRNA". It matches the Rfam family "Bacterial large subunit ribosomal RNA", at positions 1923 to 2925 of the family's 2925-position model. The record is from RNAcentral.
GUAAACGGCGGCCGUAACUAUAACGGUCCUAAGGUAGCGAAAUUCCUUGUCGGGUAAGUUCCGACCUGCACGAAUGGCGUAACGAUGGCCACACUGUCUCCUCCAGAGACUCAGCGAAGUUGAAAUGUUUGUGAUGAUGCAAUCUCCCCGCGGAAAGACGGAAAGACCCCAUGAACCUUUACUGUAGCUUUGUAUUGGACUUUGAACAGAUCUGUGUAGGAUAGGUGGGAGGCUUUGAAGCUAGGACGCUAGUUCUAGUGGAGCCAACGUUGAAAUACCACCCUGGUGUGUUUGAGGUUCUAACCUAGGUCCCUAAUCGGGAUCGGGGACCGUGCAUGGUAGGCAGUUUGACUGGGGCGGUCUCCUCCCAAAGUGUAACGGAGGAGUUCGAAGGUACGCUAGUUACGGUCGGACAUCGUGACGAUAGUGCAAUGGCAUAAGCGUGCUUAACUGCGAGACUGACAAGUCGAGCAGGUGCGAAAGCAGGACAUAGUGAUCCGGUGGUUCUGAAUGGAAGGGCCAUCGCUCAACGGAUAAAAGGUACUCUGGGGAUAACAGGCUGAUACCGCCCAAGAGUUCAUAUCGACGGCGGUGUUUGGCACCUCGAUGUCGGCUCAUCUCAUCCUGGGGCUGUAGCCGGUCCCAAGGGUAUGGCUGUUCGCCAUUUAAAGAGGUACGUGAGCUGGGUUUAAAACGUCGUGAGACAGUUUGGUCCCUAUCUUCCGUGGGCGCUGCAGAUUUGAAGAAGCCUGCUCCUAGUACGAGAGGACCGGAGUGGACACACCUCUGGUGUAUCGGUUGUCACGCCAGUGGCAUUGCCGAGUAGCUAAGUGUGGAAGAGAUAACCGCUGAAAGCAUCUAAGCGGGAAACUCGUUUCAAGAUGAGAUCUGCCGGGGCCUUGAGCCCCCUAAAGAGUCGUUCUAGACCAGGACGUUGAUAGGUUGGGUGUGGAAGCGCAGCAAUGCGUUAAGCUAACCAAUACUAAUUGCUCGUGCGGCUUGACCCU